UACGUAGGGUGCGAGCGUUAAUCGGAAUUACUGGGCGUAAAGCGUGCGCAGGCGGUUUCGUAAGACAGACGUGAAAUCCCCGGGCUCAACCUGGGAACUGCGUUUGUGACUGCGAGGCUAGAGUACGGCAGAGGGGGGUAGAAUUCCACGUGUAGCAGUGAAAUGCGUAGAGAUGCGGAGGAACACCGAUGGCGAAGGCAGCCCCCUGGGCUAACACUGACGCUCAGGCACGAAAGCGUGGGGAGCAAACAGGAUUAGAUACCCGAGUAGU
Molecule: ribosomal RNA, 271 nt
Filed under: uncultured bacterium
Lineage: Bacteria
Description: partial 16S ribosomal RNA
Rfam family: Bacterial small subunit ribosomal RNA
Source: RNAcentral